UACGGAGGGUGCUAGCGUUGUUCGGAUUUAUUGGGCGUAAAGGGCGUGUAGGCGGAUCGGUAAGUCGAUAGUGAAAGCUCCACGGCUCAACCGGGAAAUUGCUGUCGAUACUGCCAGUCUUGAGGGCAUCAGAGGUGAGUGGAAUUCCUGGUGUAACGGUGGAAUGUUUAGAUAUCAGGAAGAACACCCGUGGCGAAGGCGACUCACUGGGAUGCACCUGACGCUGAGGCGCGAAAGCUAGGGGAGCGAACGGU
Molecule: ribosomal RNA, 254 nt
Filed under: uncultured bacterium
Lineage: Bacteria
Description: partial 16S ribosomal RNA
Rfam family: Bacterial small subunit ribosomal RNA
Source: RNAcentral